UACGGGGGGAGCAAGCGUUGUUCGGAUUUACUGGGCGUAAAGGGCGCGUAGGCGGCCAGUGCAAGUCAGUUGUGAAAUCUCCGAGCUUAACUCGGAAAGGUCAACUGAUACUGCUCGGCUAGAGUGCGGAAGGGGCAACUGGAAUUCUUGGUGUAGCGGUGAAAUGCGUAGAUAUCAAGAGGAACACCUGCGGCGAAGGCGGGUUGCUGGGCCGACACUGACGCUGAGGCGCGAAAGCGUGGGGAGCGAACAGG
RNAcentral lists this ribosomal RNA (254 nucleotides) under uncultured bacterium. RNAcentral's name for it is "partial 16S ribosomal RNA". It matches the Rfam family "Bacterial small subunit ribosomal RNA", at positions 524 to 776 of the family's 1533-position model. The record is from RNAcentral.